CCUACGGGAGGCUGCAGUGAGGAAUAUUGGUCAAUGGGAGAGAUCCUGAACCAGCCAAGCCGCGUGAGGGAAGACGGCCCUAUGGGUUGUAAACCUCUUUUGUCGGAGAACAAAACCCGGGACGUGUCCCGGACUGCGUGUAUCCGAAGAAAAAGCAUCGGCUAACUCCGUGCCAGCAGCCGCGGUAAUACGGAGGAUGCGAGCGUUAUCCGGAUUUAUUGGGUUUAAAGGGUGAGUAGGCGGUCCGUUAAGUCAGCGGGAAAAUUGCGGGGCUCAACCCCGUCGAGCCGUUGAAACUGGCAGACUUGAGUUGGCGAGAAGUACGCGGAAUGCGCGGUGUAGCGGUGAAAUGCAUAGAUAUCGCGCAGAACUCCGAUUGCGAAGGCAGCGUACCGGCGCCAGACUGACGCUGAGGCACGAAAGCGUGGGGAUCGAACAGGAUUAGAUACCCCUGUAGUC
This 459-nucleotide ribosomal RNA is filed under the name uncultured bacterium. RNAcentral's name for it is "partial 16S ribosomal RNA". It matches the Rfam family "Bacterial small subunit ribosomal RNA", at positions 338 to 795 of the family's 1533-position model. The record is from RNAcentral.